RNAcentral lists this ribosomal RNA (253 nucleotides) under uncultured bacterium. RNAcentral's name for it is "partial 16S ribosomal RNA". It matches the Rfam family "Bacterial small subunit ribosomal RNA", at positions 524 to 776 of the family's 1533-position model. The record is from RNAcentral.
UACGUAGGUGGCAAGCGUUGUCCGGAUUUAUUGGGUUUAAAGGGUGCGUAGGCGGCUUUGUAAGUCAGUGGUGAAAGCCUGUAGCUUAACUAUAGAAUUGCCAUUGAAACUGAAAGUCUUGAGUACAGUUGAGGUGAGCGGAAUGUAUCAUGUAGCGGUGAAAUGCUUAGAUAUGAUACAGAACACCGAUUGCGAAGGCAGCUCACUAAACUGCAACUGACACUGAGGCACGAAAGCGUGGGGAUCAAACAGG